Mus musculus (house mouse) is the source of this 1205-nucleotide long non-coding RNA. RefSeq annotates it as predicted gene, 53717. NCBI's taxonomy places the organism in Eukaryota, Metazoa, Chordata, Mammalia, Rodentia, Muridae. The record is from RefSeq and is a predicted model, not a curated record. The transcript is spliced from 3 exons.
GGGGACUGCUCCAGAUGUUAUCUUUUUACACUGGUUUUUCUUUUUUUCUUUUUUCUUUUUUUUGUACUUGUGAAAAAGACAAGGCAAGUAUCUUCGCAUCAAAAGCAAACCAAAAGCUCCCGCUGGUAAAAACCAGUCGUGUAAAUCCUCUGACCAGACCACUCCGUUUCCUUUGCUUAAGCUCAUUUCCUGACAGCCAGCCCUUUGCCCUCGGAGCAGUUUACCCAAGACUGUGUAUCCUGCCCCUUGCUUAUUGACACAUCUUUGGAAGGAGGCCAGAAGAGAGGUGUGGUCCAGCAGAUGGAGAGAAGUAUUGGCAGGAUGCAGCUUUUCACCACAGAGCUCUAAUUGCACAUCUCCUUCCAGGCCACGCCCCCUCGCCAGUCACGAGGCUUCAGCUAAUCAGGGCAGCAGGGGCAAAUCUCCACCAAAUUGGAUUCACCUGUAUCCUGGUACACCUGCGCAGCACUCAAGAUGUUUGUGUCUUAUAUGAGGAAGUCAGGUGCAAGUCAUAUAACUUAGCUGCAGUCCCUGGCGCCUUUGGGACUGCCGCCACACCCGCUCCCCACACAGAUCCAAGGCUUUGAGUUGGCCCACCUCAACAAGUACCCCAUCUAUGAACUCUUGGAGCUCAUGAAGGGGCUGGUCCUGCAAACUCAAAGCUGUAGGAUCUCUAUGGCCCAGGGCAAAAACAGGACAUCGGAGAGGUGUCCCAGUGAGGAUCUGGUAUUGAUAGGGUGGCAGAAGCCAGAAACCAGACCAAAGAUUCAUUGUGACGAAUAUCUGCAAGUAAAGGUGCGUGGACAAAAGGGUAUACCGUGGGACACACUGUGACACACUACUGCUUCCCCUGUGUUUGUUUCGUUUUAAUUCUUUUAAAAACUUUUUUCUAUUUUCUUUUUUUUGGGGGGGGGGGAGUUUGCAUGGGCAGAGGGUGCAUAGGAAGGGAAGGAUGGGGAGAUGAGUGGGAUUGGGGUUCAUGAUGUGAAAUUCACAAAGAACCAAUAAAAAAACUUUAAAUAAAGAAACGGUUCCUUUGUUUUGUGUGCUAGUUUGGUUCUGGGAAGGCCUUCUUGGUCGGUAAGUAACUGACAUUUUGUUGCAAAUCACAAUCAAGAAAUGAUUCUAGGGAGAGGUGCCCUCCCCUGCUUCACCCCUCACUGGCUGCAGCACUUGGGAGAUGGGUCCUGCACCUUUUUGUUGUG